CGAUCCUGGCUCAGAUUGAACGCUGGCGGCGUGCUUAACACAUGCAAGUCGCGCGUGGAAGGACUUCGGUCCGAGUAAAGCGGCGCACGGGUGAGUAACGCGUGGAUGAUCUACCCAUGAGUUAGGAAUAACGGCUGGAAACGGUCGCUAAUACCAAAUACGCUCCGAUUUCAACUUCGGGGGAAAGGUGGCCUCUGCUUGCAAGCUACUGCUCAUGGAUGAGUCCGCGUCCCAUUAGCUAGUUGGUGGGGUAACGGCCCACCAAGGCGACGAUGGGUAGCCGGUCUGAGAGGAUGACCGGCCACACUGGGACUGGAACACGGCCCAGACUCCUACGGGAGGCAGCAGUGGGGAAUAUUGCGCAAUGGGCGAAAGCCUGACGCAGCGACGCCGCGUGAGGGAUGAAGGUCCUCGGAUCGUAAACCUCUGUCAGGAGGGAAGAACCGCCACGGUGCUAAUCAGCCGUGGUCUGACGGUACCUCCAAAGGAAGCACCGGCUAACUCCGUGCCAGCCGCAGC
Molecule: ribosomal RNA, 519 nt
Filed under: uncultured bacterium
Lineage: Bacteria
Description: bacterial SSU rRNA
Rfam family: Bacterial small subunit ribosomal RNA
Source: RNAcentral